This 254-nucleotide ribosomal RNA is filed under the name uncultured bacterium. RNAcentral's name for it is "partial 16S ribosomal RNA". It matches the Rfam family "Bacterial small subunit ribosomal RNA", at positions 524 to 776 of the family's 1533-position model. The record is from RNAcentral.
UACGGGGGGGGCAAGCGUUGUUCGGAAUUACUGGGCGUAAAGGGCGCGUAGGCGGCCACCGCAAGUCAGUUGUGAAAUCUCUGGGCUUAACCCAGAAAGGUCAACUGAUACUGCGGGGCUAGAGUGCAGAAGGGGCAACUGGAAUUCUCGGUGUAGCGGUGAAAUGCGUAGAUAUGCGGAGGAACACCGAUGGCGAAGGCAAUCCCCUGGGCCUGCACUGACGCUCAUGCACGAAAGCGUGGGGAGCAAACAGG